RNAcentral lists this small RNA (122 nucleotides) under Pan troglodytes (chimpanzee). RNAcentral's name for it is "processed transcript". The record is from RNAcentral. Lineage: Eukaryota; Metazoa; Chordata; Mammalia; Primates; Hominidae.
GCCGUCGCCGCAGCAGCCAUGGCCGAGCGCCGCGCCUUCGCCCAGAAGAUCAGCAGGUUCAAAGUGGGCUUGUGCGUCCAGGAUUGAAAACGUGUGGACAGAAUGAAAAGUUGAGAGCUGCG